This 155-nucleotide ribosomal RNA is filed under the name Cladonia conspicua. RNAcentral's name for it is "5.8S ribosomal RNA". It matches the Rfam family "5.8S ribosomal RNA". From Rfam's summary of the family: 5.8S ribosomal RNA (5.8S rRNA) is a component of the large subunit of the eukaryotic ribosome. Lineage: Eukaryota; Fungi; Ascomycota; Lecanoromycetes; Lecanorales; Cladoniaceae. The record is from RNAcentral.
CUUUCAACAACGGAUCUCUUGGUUCUGGCAUCGAUGAAUAACGCAGCGAAAUGCGAUAAGUAAUGUGAAUUGCAGAAUUCAGUGAAUCAUCGAAUCUUUGAACGCACAUUGCGCCCCUUGGUAUUCCGAGGGGCAUGCCUGUUCGAGCGUCAUUA